Molecule: transfer RNA, 48 nt
Filed under: Candidatus Atribacteria bacterium
Lineage: Bacteria; Pseudomonadati; Atribacterota; Atribacteria
Description: tRNA-Leu
Rfam family: tRNA
About the family: Transfer RNA (tRNA) molecules are approximately 80 nucleotides in length.
Source: RNAcentral
GGCUUCCCAAGCCGAGGGUCGCGGGUUCAAAUCCCGUUUUCCGCUCCA